GACGGGACCCGCACAAGCGGUGGAUGAUGUGGUUUAAUUCGAUGCAACGACGAAAACCUUACCCACCUUUGACAUGGCAGGAAUCCCGAAGAGAUUUGGGAGUGCUCGAAAGAGAACCUGCACACAGGUGCUGCAUGGCUGUCGUCAGCCCGUGUCGUGAGAUGUUGGGUUAAGUCCCGCAACGAGCGCAACCCUUGCCAUUAGUUGCUACGAAAGGGCACUCUAAUGGGACUGCCGGUGACAAACCGGAGGAAGGUGGGGAUGACGUCAAGUCCUCAUGGCCCUUAUAGGUGGGGCUACACACGUCAUACAAUGGCCGGUACAGAGGGUAGCCAACCCGCGAGGGGGAGCCAAUCCCACAAAGCCGGUCGUAGUCCGGAUCGCAGUCUGCAACUCGACUGCGUGAAGUCGGAAUCGCUAGUAAUCGCGGAUCAGCAUGUCGCGGUGAAUACGUUCCCGGGUCUU
RNAcentral lists this ribosomal RNA (465 nucleotides) under uncultured Allobrachymonas sp. RNAcentral describes it as "bacterial SSU rRNA". It matches the Rfam family "Bacterial small subunit ribosomal RNA", at positions 916 to 1381 of the family's 1533-position model. Lineage: Bacteria; Pseudomonadati; Pseudomonadota; Betaproteobacteria; Burkholderiales; Comamonadaceae. The record is from RNAcentral.